This 253-nucleotide ribosomal RNA is filed under the name uncultured bacterium. Its description in RNAcentral is "partial 16S ribosomal RNA". It matches the Rfam family "Bacterial small subunit ribosomal RNA", at positions 524 to 776 of the family's 1533-position model. The record is from RNAcentral.
UACGGAAGGUGCGAGCGUUAAUCGGAAUUACUGGGCGUAAAGCGCGUGUAGGCGGCCCUGCAAGUCGGAUGUGAAAUCCCACGGCUCAACCGUGGAAGUGCAUUCGAAACUGCAGGGCUAGAGUCCUGGAGAGGAAGGUGGAAUGCUUGGUGUAGAGGUGAAAUUCGUAGAUAUCAAGCGGAACACCGGUGGCGAAGGCGGCCUUCUGGACAGUGACUGACGCUGAGACGCGAAAGCGUGGGGAGCAAACAGG